GUGGGGCUCGAACUCACAGACUGUGAGAUUCAUGACCCGAGCUGAAGUCGGACGCUCAACCGACUGAGCCACCCAGGUGCCCCCAGAUUGGCUUCUUUUAAUUACUGAUAUGAAUUUGAGAUUCUUUUCAUGGCUUGAUAGCUCAUUUCUUUCUAGUGCUGAUUGAUAAUUCCGUUGUCUGAGCAUGCCACGGUUUAUUUAGCCAUUCACCUGCUGAAGGCUUGAUUGCUUCCAAGUUUUGGCAGUUAUGAAGAAAGCUUCUGUAAACAUCCACACGCAAGUUUUCCUGUGGACGUAAUUUUUCAAUUCAUGUCAGUAGAUGGGAGCAAGAUGACUGGAUCGUACGGUAUGUAUUGUUCCAGGCCCCAACAUGGGCACUGGGGAUACAGCAGCAAAAAGACAGAUGCAAUAUCUACCAGAUGCAAGUUUUGUAAACAGAGGCAACAAAGCUGACCAGGGCAGUGAGAGAGGCCUCCCUGAAGAAGCAAUGGUUGAGUUAACAUCUGAAAGUUGGCCAUGCAGAAAGGGAAGUACUGGGACCCAAGACAAAACAGAGGCAAAGAAAUGGAAGGAACCACAAUAUAACUGGACAGGGGUUUAUUAUUGUUCAUCGUUUGACUUCUAAAUAUGGACACGGGGAUCGUUAAUUUUGAUGGUCAACUCUUCUAAAGUAGAAGCAUUUAAAGCUGUGAAUUUCCCUCAAAGCAUCAUUUUUUAUAUAAUAUUUUCACUCCCCACUCCGUAAGGUGGGCUCUCCAUAGCGACUUCCUUUGGCAGAGUAUGCUAUCAAAAGGGGGAAAGAGUAUAACUUCACAGUGUAGAAACCUGACAAAUACUUCCUCAGCCAGGUGAGCAAGGUCUGCCUCAACAGCGAUAGCUCAUGUUGAUAGUAAUUACCACCGAAGUGACGUGAUGUAAGUGGCACUUUAGGUGCAGUCUUCCUCCCAAAUACCAUAAUCCCAGGCUAAUCAUAAGAGAACAUCAGACAAAUUCCAUAAGUGGGGCAUCCUGCAAAAUAUCUGACCAAUGCUUCUCAACAUUGUCAAAGUCAAUAAAAUCAAGGAAAGUCUGGGGAACUGUUGCAGCCAAGAGGAGCAUAAGGAGAUUUGACUACUAAGUGUAAUGUUAUAUUUGGGCAUUAGGGAAAAACCUAGAGAAUCUGAAUAAAGUAUGAAGUUUAGGUAAUAAGAAGGUAUUAUUUGGUUUAUUUUUUUAAUGUUUAUUUAUUUUGAGAGAGAGAGAGCAAGUACGAGUGGGUGAGGGGCAGAGAGAGAGGGAGAGAGAGAAGCCCAAGCAGGCUCUGUGCUGCAGAGUCCAAGAAGGGCUCAGUCUCACAAACCAUGAGAUUAUGUAUGACCUGAGCUGAAAUCAAGAGUUGGACACUUAACGGACUGAGCCACCCAGGCACCCCUUAUUUGGUUUGUUAAUUGAGGCAACUGUACCAUGCUAAUAUAAGAAGGUAAUAAUAAGGGAACAUGGGUUUGGGAUAUAUGGGAAGUCUCUAUAUUAUCUUCCCAUUAUAUUAUUGGAAGGGGGCACCAGUGUCAUGUCCUAGAGUCCAAAGGCCCAAACACCUUUGGACUCUAGGACCAAGGGCAGGAGAAGAUGAAUGUCUUAGCUCAAGAAAAGGAAGAAAAUUUGCCCUUUCUGCACUUUUGUUCUAUUCAGGCCCUCACAGGAUUGUAUGAUGCCCACUCACAUUGAUGGGCAUCACAUUGAUGGGAGUGGAUCUCUUUACACAGUCUGCCGGUUCACAUGCUAAUCUCUUCUGAAACAUCCGCUCAGACAUCACAAAAGCUGUAUUUUAUCAGCUACGUGGAUACCCUUUAGCCCAGCUAAGUUGAGAUAUAUGUGUGUGUGUGUGUGUGUGUGUGUGUGUGUGUGUGUGUGUGUGUGUAUUCGGGUGAUCUUUGUAAUUCAUGUGUUAUUCAACAGUGUUAUUUUUAACUUCCAAAUAUUUGAGAAUGUGUAAUGUAUCUUUUUUGUUAUUCACUUCUACCUUAUUUGCAUUGUGGUCAAAGAUCAUGGUCAAUACAACAUCUCUAUAUUGAAAUAUUGGAGGUUUCUUUUGUGUUUAGUGUAUGACCUACUUUUAUAAAUGUAUUAUUGUGGUAGGGUCCCCUCCCUAAGGAAAAAAAAAAACCUCAAGGUAAUCUGGCUGUGUGUGUACAUGACAACAACCCUCAUGAUCUUGUAACAUGAGACCGCUUAAUCAGACUGCAUGUUUGUAUGCGUGCCAUAUAUGGGAGACGAAGAAGUGAAAAAUAUAUAAAGAACUAUGCCACGUGGCAUUCGGGGCUCAGUUCUUUGGGUACGAACCCAACUGAGCAGUGCUGGCAGGAAUACAGCUGCAUCCUGGAAAGAAAAGCCUCUGUGUCACGACUGUGCGAGAAUCCUGCUACAUUACUUGGGGGCUUGCAUCCGGGAUUUGGAGGCGGUGGUUUCCACCUCCUUUGCCACCGGGGAUACGAACCUCGGGGCGCUGGGAGAGGCGGCUUCACCUGGUGCCAGCAGACCUUUUGAUCCUCAGGAGACUAGCCCUGCACUGGGGCAGGGACCCCGUGUGCGCCAACGGAACCCGUGAGGCCCAGGAGCCAGCUCAGGGAGCGCCCGUCAGACUGGUGAGAGCCCGGGUUCGUUUUGGCAGACCUGCCCCUAACAGGCAGAAGAGGAGCCUGAUCACCUCCCAGCGUGGCCCUAGUAGGUCCAAGAGGGACGAGGAACGAAGCCGCAACUCUAAGGCACUGGGUGCUGGCUGGUGGGUUGGAGUGGCCAUGUGACUGUGUGUGGGGAUUUGUCUCUCGUUCAUUUCCUGGGUCAGUGACUAUGAUAAUUAGAGACAACUGUCUCUGGUCGGUUUACCUCAGAACGGGGACUUUAAGGAAUAUUCCCAAGCAGCUGCUGAAACUCCUUUUGUUUCGGGGAAACUCCCUGUCUUCUCCAGACUGACACGGACUGGGGGGGAAGGGGGAACAAAACAAAACAAAACAAAACAGAACAAAAGAAACCUGGAGUCUGCUCCUCUGUCUGACCUGAUAAGAUUUAAACCAAGGAAUUCUCUUUCUCUGCCUUCUGCUGGCACCUCACCUCUUCUGCCUGCCCUUCCCCCCCUCCUGUUUCUGCCCCACCUGGGGGGCGGCCUGCACAACUGGCUCCCCAAUGCCUCAGGCACCGUCAACUCCUCCUCCCACCCUAGAUGUCCAGGAGCGAAGACCUCGGAUGUCAGAUGUUCCCACCAACGUUCCAGGCCAACUAUUCAAACGCAGUACGGCGAUUAGAGACAUCUCCAGAAAACCUCUAACUAAAGUUUUGUCUCAGCCCCUGGGAGACAUGUGGGAAAAACAUGUCCUAAGGGCUGUGGAGAAAGUUGGAGAAGAGAUUAAGGAUGACAGAGAAGGGUUGAAAUGGUUGCCCUAAUAGAGCCGGAAACAGAAUUUCUGACACAGUUGAGGACCUGUUUGAGGCUGGAGUGGAACCAGUCUACGUUCUUAGGUGACUUUCUCUGGCAGUGUUAAAACUGGCAAAGCGGACAUUUCUAGUUAUAUUGGCUCAUGAUUGGGAGACCAAGGGACACAAUGAAGAAACUGCGGUGAGGGGUCUCUCAGAGGUGGAUUGCAGAAUCUAGGCUUCGUGAAGCAGGAAUUGAGGAGACGAGUUGGUGGGAAGAAAUCGGAAAAGUUACAGAGCCUGGAAGGAUCGAUGACGUUGAAGAGUGAUACAGCAAGAGAAGCAGAGUAACAAAAGGGGCGAUCACAAGAUUGGAACCAGAGAGUAGAUGUAGAAAUUUGAGUCUUCAGACAUGGGCAGAGCUGGCUGACAGCCAGGCCUGGUGACAGCCAAGGGUGUGCAUGGCCAAGUCAAAACCAGAGAAAAAGCAUCCGAACCUUCCAUUUUGUCGAAAACCUACUUUUCCAAAUAUUUUAAUUAAGUCUUACUUAUAAUUUAUAAUUAUACUACAGAGUUACAGUAUAAGCAGCAUAUGUAAAUAUACACUACAUAUAAUGUAUAAUUAUAGAUUGCUUGGCAUACCCAGCAUGUUUUUAAAAACAUAAAAGAAAAAAAGGAAAACUCCACGCAUGUAUAUAUAGAUAAAAAUGACUAGAUGAACAUAAACCAAAAUGUUAACAGUGAGAUUAUGGCUGAUAAUUUUUCUUUUGCGUUUCAAAUGUUGUACAACAGCCAGUAGUAUUUCUAAAAUCUUAAAAGGCAAUGCAUUUUAUAUUUUGAAAGAAAAUGGUGUACCCCAAGUGAACUUCGCUCUUUCAGGAUAUCUCAGGCUUGAAAGGAAGUAAUAUUCUGAACUAUGGAACAUAUUGUCAUGUAUUAGUAUAGAGUACCUAAUGCAAAUAGUAAUUCCAAUGAGUCACUUCUUUCCCACUCGUUUUAAACUAUGAGAUAGCAGUCAGGCCUAAUUAUUUCAAUUUAUAAAUAUUUACUCUCAAGACAAGUUCCUUAUGUUCAUAAUGUUGACUUAAUAAAUGCAGACUGACAUCGA
Molecule: long non-coding RNA, 4495 nt
Organism: Felis catus (domestic cat)
Lineage: Eukaryota; Metazoa; Chordata; Mammalia; Carnivora; Felidae
Exons: 4
Source: RefSeq, a predicted model, not a curated record